UACGUAGGGUGCGAGCGUUGUCCGGAAUUAUUGGGCGUAAAGAGCUCGUAGGCGGUCUGUCGCGUCUGCUGUGAAAUCCCGAGGCUCAACCUCGGGCCUGCAGUGGGUACGGGCAGACUAGAGUGCGGUAGGGGAGAUUGGAAUUCCUGGUGUAGCGGUGGAAUGCGCAGAUAUCAGGAGGAACACCGGUGGCGAAGGCGGUUCUCUGGGCAUUACCUGACGCUGAGGAGCGAAAGUGUGGGGAGCGAACAGG
This 253-nucleotide ribosomal RNA is filed under the name uncultured bacterium. RNAcentral describes it as "partial 16S ribosomal RNA". It matches the Rfam family "Bacterial small subunit ribosomal RNA", at positions 524 to 776 of the family's 1533-position model. The record is from RNAcentral.